This 350-nucleotide ribosomal RNA is filed under the name Bostrycapulus pritzkeri. Its description in RNAcentral is "SSU rRNA". It matches the Rfam family "Eukaryotic small subunit ribosomal RNA", at positions 45 to 392 of the family's 1831-position model. The record is from RNAcentral. Lineage: Eukaryota; Metazoa; Mollusca; Gastropoda; Littorinimorpha; Calyptraeidae.
UAAGCCAUGCAUGUCUAAGUUCACACCCUCGUACGGUGAAACCGCGAAUGGCUCAUUAAAUCAGUCGAGGUUCCUUAGAUGAUCCGAAUUUACUUGGAUAACUGUGGUAAUUCUAGAGCUAAUACAUGCCGACCAGCUCCGACCCCUCGGGGAAAGAGCGCUUUUAUUAGUUCAAAACCAGUCGGGUUGCCCCGUCCUUUGGUGACUCUGGAUAACUUUGUGCCGAUCGCAUGGCCUCGAGCCGGCGACGCAUCUUUCAAAUGUCUGCCCUAUCAAAUGACGAUGGUACGUGAUCUGCCUACCAUGUUAGCAACGGGUAGCGGGGAAUCAGGGUUCGAUUCCGGAGAGGG